Molecule: unclassified non-coding RNA, 329 nt
Filed under: soil metagenome
Description: partial contains 5.8S ribosomal RNA, internal transcribed spacer 2, and large subunit ribosomal RNA
Rfam family: 5.8S ribosomal RNA (bases 1-120)
Source: RNAcentral
GAUGAAGAACGCAGCGAAAUGCGAUAAGUAAUGUGAAUUGCAGAAUUCAGUGAAUCAUCGAAUCUUUGAACGCACAUUGCGCCCCUUGGUAUUCCGAGGGGCAUGCCUGUUCGAGCGUCAUUAUAACCCCUCAAGCUCAGCUUGGUGUUGGGGCCUGCUGCACUGGCAGCCCUUAAAAUCAGUGGCGGCGCCAUCUGGCUCUAAGCGUAGUAAUUCUUCUCGCUAUGGAGUCCUGGUGGAUGCUUGCCAUCAACCCCCAAUUUUUCUAUGGUUGACCUCGGAUCAGGUAGGGAUACCCGCUGAACUUAAGCAUAUCAAUAAACGGAGGA